GAAAUGCGAUAAGUAAUGUGAAUUGCAGAAUUCAGUGAAUCAUCGAAUCUUUGAACGCACAUUGCGCCCGCCAGCACUCUGGCGGGCAUGCCUGUUCGAGCGUCAUUUCAACCCUCAGAACCCCUUGCGGGAUCUGGCGUUGGGGAUUGGCAUCCAGCCAGCCCCGAAAUCUAGUGGCGGUCCCUCCGCGACCUCCCCUGUGCAGUAGCGAUACCUCGCAGCGGGACAGCGGUCUGACCACGCCGUAAAACCCCCAACUUCUCACGGUUGACCUCGAAUCAGGUAGGAAUACCCGCUGAACUUAAGC
RNAcentral lists this unclassified non-coding RNA (307 nucleotides) under plant metagenome. RNAcentral describes it as "partial contains 5.8S ribosomal RNA, internal transcribed spacer 2, and large subunit ribosomal RNA". The stretch from base 1 to 105 matches the Rfam family "5.8S ribosomal RNA", at positions 50 to 154 of the family's 154-position model. The record is from RNAcentral.